AGCGUCCGCCGAUAAAGGCACUCACGUGUUUUGCCGUAUGCAAAUUCCGCGAAGUCGAUUGACCACUCGAGAAAACCACUCGAGGACUGACGACGCGAUGAGGGGAUGUGCGAGGAGAGAAAUCGGAACCACGGUGGUCAGUUACUUCAGCCGUGUACACGAGCGGCGAAUACGGCGAGCGUGACGGACUCCCCGUAGUAUGCGCAGGAUACUAUGGGGACUUUGGUAGAGACGGCGGUCCAGCCCGCCGGUGGAUCCCAUGGUGUAGCGUUACUUUCCCACAGGCGAGGCCUCUUCCUCUGUGCGCGCGCGAUUCUUCCCAGACGCGCAUCCAUCAUGCACCUGCACACGCCGAUUCGCGUGUAUGCGUGCCUGAGAUGGUGGGGACAACGAGGAAGGACAUGUAUCUCACCUUGCGAGGCGAACCUGUUGUUCGUCACUUCGCCGAAGAUCGACGUAACCGAGUGUUACCGCCUGAAAAAUAAUUUCCACCCUUCGGGAACCGCCAAUUUCGGCGAUGUAGGAAGCUGGGAGCAAAAGGAUGUCUCUCACGGAGGAAAAUGGGUGUCCCGGAAGAGAAGAAAAUAGCAGUCGAAGUCGUCGUUCAGCGUAGACAAGGAUAGUAAAUAUUGAUUGGGGUUCCCCUCUGAAUGGAGCACGAAACUGUUCCGGAAAUGAGUUUCGUCACGCAGAGCGGAAGCUGGACCUUGCCGCAUCAUGGAAUUGGUAUUAAAGUACCUACAUCGAUCGCGGAUUGGAACGAGGCAGUAAAGGAGUGCGAAAGGGGCGAGAAGAAAAAUAAAUAUGAAAACUAAUCUUGUAGUUACGUUGCGCGCGCGAUAACGCGAGAGCUGGUAAACAUUAGGAGCAUUAUGGAACCCAAGAAUCAAAUUUAUACGACAGCAGUAUAUAUGAAAUCACAUUCACACUAUGAACACAUAUUUAUCUUGCCUUCAGUGGAACACAGGGUCUUUUUUGUUACGAAAAGUUUGUCCAUCUCCUCAGUCUUUUAUCAAAAUUUAUAUAUGAACACAAUAUUGUAUCUUCGAAAU
This is a non-coding RNA of Linepithema humile (Argentine ant), 1052 nucleotides long. The record is from RefSeq and is a predicted model, not a curated record. Lineage: Eukaryota; Metazoa; Arthropoda; Insecta; Hymenoptera; Formicidae.